UAAAAUAUUUGGACGGGUCAUCAAUGGCCGAUCAUGAAGAGUCAUGGCCUAGAUUAGUAAUCUCAAUUGCACUUUUGGAGGGGUGUAAGUUUAAGGUCACCUUAAAUGGGAGAACCUACGUCAUAAUUUGUGGCAAAGGAGUUUGUGUGGUAUGUCCAAC
Ipomoea triloba (trilobed morning glory) is the source of this 160-nucleotide small nuclear RNA. RefSeq annotates it as U1 spliceosomal RNA. The record is from RefSeq and is a predicted model, not a curated record. NCBI's taxonomy places the organism in Eukaryota, Viridiplantae, Streptophyta, Magnoliopsida, Solanales, Convolvulaceae. The transcript has a single exon.